GGGCCCGUAGCUCAGCUUGGAUAGAGCGGCAGCCUUCUAAGCUGUAGGCCGCGGGUUCAAAUCCCGCCGGGCCCG
Molecule: transfer RNA, 75 nt
Filed under: Microcaldota archaeon
Lineage: Archaea; Nanobdellati; Microcaldota
Description: tRNA-Arg
Rfam family: tRNA
About the family: Transfer RNA (tRNA) molecules are approximately 80 nucleotides in length.
Source: RNAcentral